Molecule: long non-coding RNA, 1010 nt
Organism: Malurus melanocephalus (red-backed fairy wren)
Lineage: Eukaryota; Metazoa; Chordata; Aves; Passeriformes; Maluridae
Exons: 3
Source: RefSeq, a predicted model, not a curated record
CCCUSCCUCCGCCACCGUGACGCGCGGGAAAGGGGCGGGGGCGGCCGCGGACCCGGGCCCUGGUCCGUGCUGCCACCGUGUCCCGAGGUGACCUCGGGGUUCGCGGGCUCGUCAUGGGGUGACWCGGGACCCCGGGCUGCGGGCAGAGCUGGGCUGGCGCGGCCUCUGCUGCGGGGCUUGCUACGGGCCCGCUGAGGCCACGGACAGGCCGCGGGCAGGCGRACCUACCGGCAAAAAGCACUCCAGGAGCCCCAGCCCCGACCCCCGGGCACGGCCUCCCGAACAGGCUCCAGCUGGAAGCAGCAGGACCGCCAGUCCGGAACUUUCAGGCUGGAACAGACAGUUCAGAGAGAUUACUAUGCCCAGAAGGUGAAUAUGGAGUCACAGCACCGAACUCUAGCCCAAGAACAGAAGUAUUGUGUGUGCUUUAAAGCAGCACAACCCCUUUCUUCAGAGGCUGAUUGAUUAUACUGCACUGUUUGCCAUCAGCCCAACACAAUUACCUCCAUGGCACUGUGGAACACUGAAAAAGGAACACAAAUUCCUGGAGAAAUAUCUUUUUAAAUGUAAUUUAUGGAUAGGUUGCAGUAGUGGUACAGWUCCCUUCAGCAAUUUUGCAUAUUACACUGAACAGUGUAAGAAAGGGACAUGAUUUUUUUUUCUGGGUUACCUUUUUUAAACCCUUUAGGAGUCACCCACAGAACAUUCCCCACAUACACUUUUACCUCUCCCAUCACUUAGGUCUGUAUAAGCUCUUGCUUACAUGAACAAAGAUGUCAGUAUAACACAUUUCCUACAUUCUUAAUAGCGUUUUUCAGUCAAGAAGUCAACAUUUCCUUUGCAUAGGAAUUUCAUUGCCAAAAUCUUUUGCGUCUAAAUGGAUCUGUUUCCAUUCAUAAUAUUUGUGUACACAAAACAUCUGUCCAUGAGAAAAACAGAAAUAUCAUAUAAAGAUGGCUAGUACAGCUUAAAGUACAAAGAAGGUACUUGGAAUUCUUACCUUAAAAAUG